Molecule: ribosomal RNA, 712 nt
Filed under: uncultured bacterium
Lineage: Bacteria
Description: bacterial SSU rRNA
Rfam family: Bacterial small subunit ribosomal RNA
Source: RNAcentral
AGAGUUUGAUUAUGGCUCAGGAUGAACGCUAGCUACAGGCUUAACACAUGCAAGUCGAGGGGCAUCAGGAAGAAAGCUUGCUUUCUUUGCUGGCGACCGGCGCACGGGUGAGUAACACGUAUCCAACCUGCCCUUUACUCGGGGAUAGCCUUUCGAAAGAAAGAUUAAUACCCGAUAGCAUAAUGAUUCCGCAUGGUUUCAUUAUUAAAGGAUUCCGGUAAAGGAUGGGGAUGCGUUCCAUUAGGUUGUUGGUGAGGUAACGGCUCACCAAGCCUUCGAUGGAUAGGGGUUCUGAGAGGAAGGUCCCCCACAUUGGAACUGAGACACGGUCCAAACUCCUACGGGAGGCAGCAGUGAGGAAUAUUGGUCAAUGGGCGUUAGCCUGAACCAGCCAAGUAGCGUGAAGGAUGAAGGCUCUAUGGGUCGUAAACUUCUUUUAUAUAAGAAUAAAGUGCAGUAUGUAUACUGUUUUGUAUGUAUUAUAUGAAUAAGGAUCGGCUAACUCCGUGCCAGCAGCCGCGGUAAUACGGAGGAUCCGAGCGUUAUCCGGAUUUAUUGGGUUUAAAGGGAGCGUAGGUGGACUGGUAAGUCAGUUGUGAAAGUUUGCGGCUCAACCGUAAAAUUGCAGUUGAUACUGUCAGUCUUGAGUACAGUAGAGGUGGGCGGAAUUCGUGGUGUAGCGGUGAAAUGCUUAGAUAUCACGAAGAACUCC